RNAcentral lists this ribosomal RNA (438 nucleotides) under uncultured Acholeplasma sp. RNAcentral describes it as "bacterial SSU rRNA". It matches the Rfam family "Bacterial small subunit ribosomal RNA", at positions 939 to 1382 of the family's 1533-position model. Lineage: Bacteria; Bacillati; Mycoplasmatota; Mollicutes; Acholeplasmatales; Acholeplasmataceae. The record is from RNAcentral.
AUGUGUUUAAUUCGAUGAUACGCGAAGAACCUUACCAGGUCUUGACAUCCCUUGCAAAGCUAUGGAGACAUAGUGGAGGUUAUCAAGGAGACAGGUGGUGCAUGGGUUGUCGUCAGCUCGUGUCGUGAGAUGUUGGGUUAAGUCCCGCAACGAGCGCAACCCUUAUUGCUAGUUACCAUCAUUCAGUUGGGGACUCUAGCGAGACUGCCAGUGAUAAACUGGAGGAAGGUGGGGAUGACGUCAAAUCAUCAUGCCCCUUAUGACCUGGGCUACAAACGUGAUACAAUGGCUGAAACAAAGGGCAGCGAAGCAGUGAUGUGGAGCGAAACCCAAAAAAGCAGUCUCAGUUCGGAUUGAAGUCUGCAACUCGACUUCAUGAAGUUGGAAUCGCUAGUAAUCGUAGAUCAGAACGCUACGGUGAAUACGUUCUCGGGGUUU